AUUUCAGCAUAUGUAUGACUUAUUUAAAGACAAAUUUUAAGUAGAACUCUCUCCUAAACUUUUAUGGUAUUGUAACCUGACAACAUUGCUGGUUGUCCGAGUGUCCCCCUCCCCCCGCCCGUGUACCUUGUUGCAGCUGAGCUGGGGUUGGGAAAUAGAGGGAGCCUGUCCGCAGCUGCUGGUAGCUGAAAAAAAGCCUUCAGGGUCCUGAAUGCUUUGCUGAAGAAGACAGUGCUUCAGCAACAUCCAAAAAUAUUUAAAUAAAUGGUAUUCUAUCAUGGUUUAACACUGUGAUUAAAACUGUUUAGUGGUGACUUUUUUUUUAAUUGUGUGAUUAACCUCAAUUAAUUUUUUAAUCACUUGACGGCACUAAAAACACCCUCAACAUCAACAAACUUCUGCUCUAUGGUUUUGGUCUUGUCUACACUAAAUUUGCUGUUUUAGGGGGUUGUCACAUCCGCAUGCAUAUACCACAACCAGACUGUAACUUACACUUCAGCAGGAUUAAUACCUGGGUAAAGUUCAGCUCAAGUACCAACAUGGAUAGAGCUUAAUACAGGUAACUCAAAUAUUCCUCCAAGCACUGUCCCUAAUUCCAGUGGUCACUGCUUAAGUGUUCUGUCUAGGUUACUGUCUGCACUCCGUUGUGCAUGGAUCAACUUGGCUAGAAGUUAUGUACCCAUUCAACUAGCACUGUGCUGUGGUCUACUCUAUACUAUUGUAUUACAGAUUGAAUCAAUACAAAGUACUUUUGCAGAAACUGCUGUGGUGCCUUCUACCCAAAACAUUUUACAAACAGCAACUUAGCCUCAACACAUGCCUGUAAUGCAGGAAGUUGUCAUGACCCCAUGUGACACAUGUAGAAACUGAGGCACAGAGGCUAAGUGGCACAGUCAGAAAUAGAAUCCAGAUAACCUGCUUCCCCAUUCUUGCAGUCACAGACAAAUGAAGUGGGUUGGGGAGAGAACAUAAAGGCUAACAGUUACAUAGAACCCAAAGCAAAAUAUUCUAAGAGCUGUAUUAGGAAACUGUCAUAAAUAUAAAGGGAAGGGUAAACACCUUUAAAAUCCCUCCUGGCCAGAGGAAAAACCCUUUCACCUGUAAAGGGUUAAGAAGCUAGGAUAACCUUGCUGGCACCUGACCAAAAUGACCAAUGAGGGGACAAGAUACUUUCAGAAGCAACCACCGCCUCUCAGCUUUUCUAAUCGAUCCAGGUUUGUUGUAGAAAGAGGACUUUUAUACAAGGAAACUCUUUCUGGUGGACACCAGGAAGACUGGCAUCCUCAGAGACAGUUGGUAGUUCCAACUAAGUACCGGUCAAGCUCUUGAGCUUAGCCCACGAUCAUCCUAGUGGCCAUGCUGGGGUGAACAGGACCAAAGACCGUUUGGGGAGCUCAUUCCACUGGGAGGGAAUGGGCAAGGAUGUUUCUACCUAUGUCCGGUCUUGUGAGGUAUGCCAAAGAGUGGGAAAACCCCAAGACCAGGUCAAAGCCCCUCUCCAGCCACUCCCCAUCAUUAAAGUCCCAUUUCAGCAAGUAGCUGUGGAUGUUCUGGGUCCUUUUCAGAAAAAGACACCCAGAGGAAAGCAGCACAUACUGACUUUCAUGGAUUUUGCCACCCUUUGGCCGGAAGCAGUAGCUCUAAGCAACACCAGGGCUAAAAGUGUGUGCCAGGCACUAGCAGACAUUUUUGCCAGGAUAGGUUGGCCCUCCGACAUCCUCACAGAUGCAGGAACUAAUUUCCUGGCAGGAACUAUGGAAAGCCUUUGGGAAGCUCCAGGGGUAAAUUACUUGAUUGCCACUCCUUACCACCAUCAAACCAAUGGCAUGGUGGAGAAGUUUAAUGGAACUUUGGGGGCCAUGAUACAUAAAUUCAUAAAUGAGCACUCCAAUGAUCGGGACCUGGUGUUGCAGCAGUUGCUCUUUGCCCUACAGAGCUGUACCACAUCCCAGUUUAGGGUUUUCACCAUUUGAACUUGUAUAUGGUCGCGAGGUUAAGGGGCCAUUAUAGUUGGUGAAGCAGCAAUGGGAGGGAUUUACACCUUCUCCAGGAACUAACAUUCUGGACUUUGUAACCAACCUACAAAACACCCUCCGAACCUCUCUAGCCCUUGCUAAAGAAAACUUACAGGAUGCUCAAAAAGAGCAAAAAGCCUAGUAUGAUAAACAUUCCAGAAAGCGUUCCUUCAAAGUAGGAGACAAGGUCAUGGUCUUAAAGGCGCUCCAGGCCCAUAAAAUGGAAGCGUCGUGGGAAGGGCCAUUCAUGGUCCAGGAGCGCCUGGGAGCUGUUAAUUAUCUCAUAGCAUUCCCCACCUCCAACCGAAAGCCUAAGGUGUACCAUAUUAAUUCUCUAAAGCCCUUUUAUUCCAGAGAAUUAAAAGGUUUGUCAGUUUACAGCCCAGGGAGGAGACGACGCUGAGUGGCCUGAUGGUGUCUACUACAAAGGGAAAAGUGCUGGUGGUGUGGAAGAGGUGAACCUCUCCAUGACCCUUGGGCGUAUGCAGCGACAGCAGAUCCAGGAGCUGUGCACCAGCUACGCGCCGACGUUCUCAGCCACCCCAGGACUGACUGAAUGGGCAUACCACUCCAUUGACACAGCUGGAUUUUGGGGCUGCUGUUGCUUGUAACCAAGAAAAAUGGAAACUGGCCAGUCUGUCAGUAAAUCCUUGUGUGUUCAGAGUGGGUGAUUGGACUCUAUGCUGUUUAGUUCAUCCUUAAGCAAACAUCCAGGUCCUUUAACACAAGCAGCCAAUAUGAACAGCAGUGGUCUCCAAAGUGGGGUGCGCCAGAGGAUCCCAGGGGGUGCGCGGCAGGAGGAGCAUCGCCGGACGGCACUCCGCUGUUGUUUUUCUUCGGUGGCAGCUCUGCAUGCCUGCAGCAGGUCUUCCCCUCUGCUUUCUUCAGUGCCACCGUGGGGGUGCGUGAUCCAAAAACUUUGGAGACCACUGGUCUACAGGAUAGUAUGCCUGGCAAUACUCCUAAGUGGACUGUCCUUCUGCUGGGCAGAUUCAAAGGCAAUUCAGAGCUGUCAAUCAGGAAGCCCACUGCUCUGUAGGUCCACCCCAUAACUUCAUGCUUCUGACUGCUAAAGUUGAAUAAAGGAAUGGAAAUAUUAAUAAAGUUUGCUUCUGCCUGACUUCCUGCUGGCAAAGGCAGGACUCUGUUUCUAUGCAGCCAGGGGAUGAUCUGCAGAGCCUGGGCUCGCUGAUUGUCAGCUUUGAAUUGCCUUUGAAUCUGCCCAGCGUGACAGAGAACUUUCUUAUGAAGAAUACAGAUGUGUUCUCAUAAGAGAACUAGCCCCUAGGUUUACUUUGUAUUAAUAUUUUAGAAGCAAAGCAAGUUUUACAGAGGCUCUGUGGCUAUUUCUCUCUAAUAUCCUUUCUGAUUCUGGAAUGUUUGACUAGUUACACAUGAGACUUUGAUGUCCUUAUAUAUAUUUAAGAAUACAAAAAAUAGAAGUCUGGAUUGGAAUAAAGGAAGCAGUCAUGCAGAUCAAUGUUUAACAUUUUGGGAUCUUUCCCCAAAAUUGGUGGAAAUUAAGGAUUACACACAAUUAGUUUUUCUAAAUCUGCUAUACGAGAUUAAAUAUUUAUCAAGACAGCAUCCAUACAAUUGUAGGAGAACUAUUUGUAAAGUUUUAACUGUAUGUUAUAAUAAAGUGUUUUACACCCAAACUUACCUCCACAUUAAAAAAACCCCAUCACCAGAGCAGAAUAUAAAUCUUAAUGUAGAAAGUAUUUGUUCUUGUGAAUUAUUUUUUAGGCAGCCAAGAGGAAAUUGCACGUAAAGGAUUAUGCAUAUAGAGGAGUCCAGCCUCACAUCCUAAAUAUGGCCCUAGUGUAGCAAGUGUGAAUAAACUGAACUGAAACAUGAGCUAGGACAGCUCCUAUGGAAAAACAGAUACAGCACAUUGCCAGAGAGUACCCACAGUGAUUACAUGGUAUGUAUGCACCAAACAUGCUGCAUACUUACAUGGCUAAAGGAAAAAAAGGCAACCUGCAUUUAAUUCUUUCUGAAACAUAGUCUUUCCUCAAUUUGUUUUUGGCACAAAACAUGAGGCAGUGAUUGUUAUCACAAAUGGGGCUUCCAAAAAAACCUGUCACCCAGACACAUUACCAGCUCUCUAUGAGAAAAGUUAAUUGAAUUUGAUUAAUUCCCAUUGGAUUAGCUGAAUAAACAACUCUUUUGAAGCUAGUAAUAAAUCUGUAAUAAUCAGCUGUAUUUAUAAUCCAUGUAGCUUUGUUAAAUACAACUGGGACACUGUAACAGAUUUUAAACAUAAAUUAAUAAUUCUGGGAAAGUUCCAAAGUAAAUCACCACAACAGCAAAGCUGUGCAGUGUAUUCUCUGAAUUGCAUGACUUCUAUCAAAGCUUUUGGCAUCUUAAACUGAUAAUGUUUUAUUAGAGAACUCCCUCACAAAACAUUCAAGGUUAAAGCCUUGUUAGAUGGCAAUUGCAAAAACUGAUUAGCCUUUUUGAAAAAUGCUCCACAGCUGCACAUAAUUUGAUCCUUGUAUUAUAACCAGUAUCUGCUUCCCCAGGCACUUUAUAGAUACUAAGUGUUGUUGCCAUCUUGAUUUUAAAGUUCCUCCUACAGAAGGCUCUCUAAACAUGUUAAAUGUUAAGGCCAACAUUUUAUAACGGGUGGGCAAACUUUUUGGCAUGAGGGCCAUAUUGGGUUUCCAAAAUUGUAUGGAGGGCCGGCCCCUGCUCCCAUCCACCUCCCCACGCUUCUUGCCCCCUGCCUCAUCCAUUUUACCUUGUGAGUGAGGCUACUUCAGAUAAUAGCCUCACUGAAUUAUGUUUCUAACAAAACAAAAUGCUCAUUCUGAAGAUUUUGUGAGUAGACAUUUCAUAUAUACAAAGAUUAAUAAUUUUAAUUUAUUUCAUUAUAGAAGGCAAUGCAUCAUUCUGAGAAGGAACAACUGACCUUGGUAGGCUUAAAAAAAACAAUAAACUAUUGAGAGAUGAAAAAAACCAAUCUCAAGCAAAUUGGUUUUGUUUUUUUUAAACUGAUCAGUGUUAGAAAUAAGGAAGAAUAUGACUAAAUUGCUCCAUAAACUGAUGCUUGUGGGCUAUAAUCAAUCCUAAUUUGAAUUUUUUUCCCUAUAUCUACAUGGGUUGUUUAAAAGUAAAGACUAGUUAAUACAAGAGCUUUCAGGCGGUAACACUGUGUUGGGGAAAUAAUUUACAAGUUUAAAAAAUGAACAAUAAAAAAUAUAGUUUUUCAGUUCUAUGUAUCAGAGAUGCAAAACAGUGGCGGAAUGCUCAGUUCGUCCUGCUCAUGGGAGUUAUAAUUAACAGAACACAAUAUUUAUUGCUCACAUUAUUCUCCUGUGUUAAAAUGAUGGUGUAAAUAUGUUAAAAACUUUCUCCCUCUUUUACUAAUUAUUCUAUAAGGACCAGACACUAAGAAACCAGCUCAUGGGAAUCUCUUUUUAAAAUUCAUUUUCUACGCAUUCCUCUUGAAAUGUUUUUGCUGAUUUCUCCUCAGAUAUUCCUGUUUCGUAUGUUGUCAGAAGCUUUACCUUUAGAGCACCCCUUUCUGGGUGCUUCUUUUGCCCCAACACCUUUCUCUUGCAGCAGGAUUUGCUAUAGUGUUGGUCCAAAGAGGGGGCUGUGUCCCCUGAGUUGUAAAUAUCAGGGAAGCAGUUCCUUCCUCCCUCCCUGUACAGUUCUGUAACUCACAAAAAGUCCAGCUUUGCCCUAUUCUCCUUGCAAGGCAAUGGGGUCAGUUGUCAGGGCUGGGUUUCUAACCCCUUGUCAGGCUGAGGGACCAGGCUGAGUUUCCUGGGCUCUAAGUAAAA
This is a long non-coding RNA of Chelonia mydas (Green sea turtle), 5806 nucleotides long. RefSeq lists it as uncharacterized. Lineage: Eukaryota; Metazoa; Chordata; Testudines; Cheloniidae. The record is from RefSeq and is a predicted model, not a curated record. The transcript has 4 exons.